RNAcentral lists this ribosomal RNA (271 nucleotides) under uncultured archaeon. Its description in RNAcentral is "partial 16S ribosomal RNA". It matches the Rfam family "Archaeal small subunit ribosomal RNA", at positions 477 to 747 of the family's 1478-position model. The record is from RNAcentral.
CGGCGCCACAAGUGGUGAUCAUGUUUAUUGGGCCUAAAGCGUUCGUAGCCGGUUUGAUAAAUCUUCUGUGAAAUUGUCAGGCUUAACCUGACAGCGUGCAGAAGACACUAUCAAACUUGGGACCGGGAGGAGUCAGAGGUAUUUUUGGGGGAGCGGUAAAAUGCUAUAAUCCCAAGAAGACUAACUGUGGCGAAGGCGCCAUACGGGAACGGGUCCGACGGUGAGGAACGAAAGCUAGGGGAGCGAUCCGGAUUAGAGACCCGAGUAGUCC